GGGAAGGGAAGGGAAACAUGAGGGAGCCAGCUUCAGACAAAUGUGAAACUGUUCCUGUAAAACUGAUUAUGAUCCCUCUGUGAGGAGGGGGAAGAAAGUUUAGAUAGAGAAGAAUAAAUGUUACCUAUAUACACACAAAAGAGAGUGAUACAUAGUUGAUUUGGAUGUAACUUGACUCCUUGACAACUCUAUUGAGCCAUAAAUUAAAACAUGAGGUCUCAUUCAUUCCUGAAGCACAAAAAAAUAAAGAAGAAGGUGUCUCUAAGCUUAAACAAAAUUUUCUCUCUUUUAGACAAGUCAAUCUCCUUAAGAAGCUUUCUUUCUUUUUUUGUUCUGAGGUACUUCUCAAAUGAACAACCUCAUUCGUGUCAAAGUUUCCCCAAAUUGGCCAUCGCAUUCCCAAUUGUCCCUGGUGAAAUUGUGCCAGUUAGAAAGUUAAGGGUGCACGUUAGCGUAUAAGGAGAAAACAUGAAGGCAACAGGUGUCUCUUGGAAGACAUGUGGUUUCAUGUUGAGAAAGCCCCCCAAAGAUGGGACGGUCUGUAAGAAUAAAACCUGGUUAGCUUUGUGUCUCCGGAACCGGGCCAAAGCCCAAUUUUUUGCUAAUCCAGAGCUGACCAGAAUUUCCCGAUUUGGUGCAGACAAAAUUAAACAGCGCAAAUCUGUGACUACACUAAAAAUCAUUGAAUUGUACACUUUAAAUAAGUCAAUUGUAUAGUAUGUGAAGCAUAUCUCAAGAAAGCUGCUAUGAAAAAAGUCUUCCAAAGGACUAUUAUAUUUGGAAAGCACAAAAACAUUGAAACGGUUAUGUUGUUUUUAUACUAAGGGGAAACUGGAAAGAAUACAAUUGUAUGUUAACAAGAGAAUAGUUAAAUACAUUAGGGUAAAAUUGUAUGGUGGAAUAUUAGCUAGUCAUUAAGAAUGUUUUUAAGUAAUACUUAACGACAAAGAAAAGGCUCACAGUAGAGUCUUAGUGUGAGAGCAGGAUAAAAAGUGUGCAUUCAGCAUAAUUUUACAAGGAAAUCUCAUUAAGGGAAAACAGCAUAUAGAAAUAAACCCUGAAUGGAAAGACAACAGCAUAACAGUGUUUAUGAAUGAUGGACUGUGGGUAAUUUAAACUUUUUUCGUUGUUCUGUCUCUAUCGUUUCCAGUGAAAAUGAAUUUUUAUUGCUUUUAUAAUCGGGAAACAAAAUGUUGUAAAACAAAAAUGGCUAUGGGGACCUAAAGCAAGGUUUUUAUAUUGAUUUGAGUGUACAACAGAGUAACAUAGCACUAAAGUUCCAAGUACAGGGUCACCAUAUGAAUUUGGUUAAGUGAAGGAAGAGACUAUUGAAAACAAGGAUCCAAGUAAUUACUUUUUCCUUUCAGUUGUUCGAAAUACUGCUGCCAAAUCAUCUCAGAUUACUCCAGCUAGGCUCAGAGCAAACCCACCUCUUGAGUUCAACACGACAUUGACCCUCUUCUUUCCCUGCAUACAGCCCUCUCAUUUGUGCAUUUCCUUACUUCAUCUCCCCACUUCUCCUCACUUCACCUCGGGAUUUUCCUGCUAUGUAUCUGCUAUCCUUCAAAUAAAUGCUUCAUGUAAGCUUACAAUA
Long non-coding RNA from Felis catus (domestic cat), 1594 nucleotides. RefSeq lists it as uncharacterized. The transcript is spliced from 2 exons. The record is from RefSeq and is a predicted model, not a curated record. NCBI's taxonomy places the organism in Eukaryota, Metazoa, Chordata, Mammalia, Carnivora, Felidae.